UAGGGAAUCUUCGGCAAUGGACGAAAGUCUGACCGAGCAACGCCGCGUGAGUGAAGAAGGUUUUCGGAUCGUAAAACUCUGUUGUUAGAGAAGAACAAGGACGUUAGUAACUGAACGUCCCCUGACGGUAUCUAACCAGAAAGCCACGGCUAACUACGUGCCAGCAGCCGCGGUAAUACGUAGGUGGCAAGCGUUGUCCGGAUUUAUUGGGCGUAAAGCGAGCGCAGGCGGUUUCUUAAGUCUGAUGUGAAAGCCCCCGGCUCAACCGGGGAGGGUCAUUGGAAACUGGGAGACUUGAGUGCAGAAGAGGGGAGUGGAAUUCCAUGUGUAGCGGUGAAAUGCGUAGAUAUAUGGGGGAACACCAGAGGCGAAGGCGGCUCUCUGGUCUGUAACUGACGCUGAGGCUCGAAAGCGUGGGGAGCAAACAGG
Molecule: ribosomal RNA, 429 nt
Filed under: Gemmatimonadota bacterium
Lineage: Bacteria; Pseudomonadati; Gemmatimonadota
Description: Gemmatimonadetes bacterium partial 16S ribosomal RNA
Rfam family: Bacterial small subunit ribosomal RNA
Source: RNAcentral